RNAcentral lists this ribosomal RNA (543 nucleotides) under Yarrowia deformans. RNAcentral's name for it is "partial 26S ribosomal RNA". It matches the Rfam family "Eukaryotic large subunit ribosomal RNA", at positions 38 to 667 of the family's 3401-position model. Lineage: Eukaryota; Fungi; Ascomycota; Dipodascomycetes; Dipodascales. The record is from RNAcentral.
GCAUAUCAAUAAGCGGAGGAAAAGAAACCAACAGGGAUUGCCUCAGUAACGGCGAGUGAAGCGGCAAAAGCUCAAAUUUGAAACCCUCGGGAUUGUAAUUUGAAGAUUUGGCAUUGGAGAAAGCUAACCCAAGUUACUUGGAAUAGUACGUCAUAGAGGGUGACAACCCCGUCUGGCUAACCGUUCUCCAUGUAUUGCCUUAUCAAAGAGUCGAGUUGUUUGGGAAUGCAGCUCAAAGUGGGUGGUAAACUCCAUCUAAAGCUAAAUACUGGUGAGAGACCGAUAGCGAACAAGUACUGUGAAGGAAAGGUGAAAAGAACUUUGAAAAGAGAGUGAAAUAGUAUGUGAAAUUGUUGAUAGGGAAGGAAAUGAGUGGAGAGUGGUUUAGGUUUCAGCCUUCUUUCGAGGGGGUGCACUACCAACGCCGAGUCAUUGAUAGCGAGACAGGGGUUAUAAACGGACGGCACUUGUGCUAUUCUCCUAACCCCUCUACUGCCACCAACGACAUAAUCCACCCAUUUCACCCGUCUUGAAACACGGACC